This 468-nucleotide ribosomal RNA is filed under the name uncultured bacterium. Its description in RNAcentral is "partial 16S ribosomal RNA". It matches the Rfam family "Bacterial small subunit ribosomal RNA", at positions 28 to 507 of the family's 1533-position model. The record is from RNAcentral.
GACGAACGCUGGCGGCGUGCUUAACACAUGCAAGUCGAACGGAAAGGCCCUGCUUUUGUGGGGUGCUCGAGUGGCGAACGGGUGAGUAACACGUGAGUAACCUGCCCUUGACUUUGGGAUAACUUCAGGAAACUGGGGCUAAUACCGGAUAGGAGCUCCUGCUGCAUGGUGGGGGUUGGAAAGUGUCGGCGGUUGGGGAUGGACUCGCGGCUUAUCAGCUUGUUGGUGGGGUAGUGGCUUACCAAGGCUUUGACGGGUAGCCGGCCUGAGAGGGUGACCGGCAACAUUGGGACUGAGAUACGGCCCAGACUCCUACGGGAGGCAGCAGUGGGGAAUAUUGCACAAUGGGCGGAAGCCUGAUGCAGAAACGCCGCGUGCGGGAUGACGGCCUUCGGGUUGUAAACCGCUUUCGCCUGUGACGAAGCGUGAGUGACGGUAAUGGGUAAAGAAGCACCGGCUAACUACGUG